RNAcentral lists this ribosomal RNA (450 nucleotides) under uncultured bacterium. Its description in RNAcentral is "bacterial SSU rRNA". It matches the Rfam family "Bacterial small subunit ribosomal RNA", at positions 354 to 796 of the family's 1533-position model. The record is from RNAcentral.
GUGGGGAAUUUUGGACAAUGGGCGCAAGCCUGAUCCAGCAAUGCCGCGUGCAGGAAGAAGGCCUUCGGGUUGUAAACUGCUUUUGUACGGAACGAAACGGUCCGGGUUAAUACCCUGGGCUAAUGACGGUACCGUAAGAAUAAGCACCGGCUAACUACGUGCCAGCAGCCGCGGUAAUACGUAGGGUGCAAGCGUUAAUCGGAAUUACUGGGCGUAAAGCGUGCGCAGGCGGUUUUGUAAGACAGGCGUGAAAUCCCCGGGCUCAACCUGGGAAUUGCGAUUGUGACUGCAAGGCUGGAGUGCGGCAGAGGGGGAUGGAAUUCCGCGUGUAGCAGUGAAAUGCGUAGAUAUGCGGAGGAACACCAAUGGCGAAGGCAAUCCCCUGGGCCUGUACUGACGCUCAUGCACGAAAGCGUGGGGAGCAAACAGGAUUAGAAACCCCUGUAGUCC